UAAUUCUUUCUCCUUCGCACACUCUGCAAGUUCAGUGAGUUUUACAAUUCGUCUGGGCUUCUUUGGAUCCUUUGAGUAUGAGAUUUUUCCUCUGUCUAUGUUCAUAUUUCUUAUAUGAAUUCUGUCUUUUGUGAUUUUUCAUUCUGUUUGCCUCAAUUUUCGAGUGUCUAUUGUGUUUAUUAAAUUUUAUAAGUUUUCUCCCCAAUUUUUUUCUCCUUAUGUUGUGUACUGGAUUUCACUUCUGGAUUUCUUUGAAAGUUUUGUCUAUUUUUGUUCGAUGUUGGUUUCUCUAUUCUUUUGAAUAAUUUCUUGCUAGAUUUUCUAUCUCAUUUUGAUAUGCAUGUCUGGAAAGAAAUAUCUAGGUGCAUUGCACCACAUAUACUAGCAUUCUCAUAAAAAGAAAUACCUAAGUGCAUGCUCUUUGUGUUCUGAUCUUGAUUGUGUAAAUUGGGGUAUUUAGUGGAAAAAAUUUUUUCUUUAAAGGUUCUGAUUAAGGGUGAAAUAGGUUGUAUUAUCGAAUUAUGAAUUAUUUUCGGAGUAAUUUCAUAUUUGAUCUUUAUUCGAAGUAUGUAUACUGCUUUAAUGGCAGACUUGAGUGCUACAGGUGUCAUGAGCAGCUUCCUUCUUUCAUUUGUUCUCUUUCAGGACAUUCUUAAGUUUUCAGAUAAGAGGGUUGAUGAUUCAUUUUUCCUCCAUAUUUCGCAAAAGUUCAUUUGAUUGCAGUGCAAAGCUAUCCGCAUAUGGAAGAAGAUUUGUAAGGGGAAAAAAGUAAGUUUUAGUCAUCCUGUGUGUUUUUGUCUUCCUUACUGCUCUUGGCCAUGGAUUCUUGAUUCAUUUCAAAAUUUCUAUUGUGGUUUCCCUUUGUAUGUGGAUUUGCUGAUUUUUUUUCUCUUUUUCUUAUUGAUGAGCAUUUAGAUGUUCGAUUCUAUUUUUGAUAAGAUUAUUGAUUUACAAUUUUCACUCGCUCUCUGAAAGUAUCUUUGCAUUUCGCUUUGUUUUUCUUUUUAAUACUCCUACAGAGUAUGUGAUUUUGAAUAUUUGUUUGCUUUUUCUCUUUCUUCAUGUAUGUAGUUAUUUGUUAGAACUCUUCUAUGGAAGCACUGAAUGUUCAUCAAGAAUAAAUAGUAGUAACAAAAAUGGAAGAACUUUGAUGCAACAAAAGUGUUUGACAAUAAACCUGAAACAACUGAAAGAGCUUUUAUUCCUCUUUUUUCAGUUGUUCUAUAACAUAAAUAUACUAUCAUUUAGCAACUCCAAAUCUAUAUUACUUUUACUAGUAUUAAGAGAAAGCAAUGAGAGUUCUAAUCAUCAAACCGUUCCGACACACGGUUUAAAACUAGAGUCACCCCUAGGCGCCACACCUCAUAAUGACAAAUCCCGAGUCACAAAUCACAAAUCAAAUACACAUGGAAUCUCAUGCCCCCAUUAUCAAUCACCUUCGCACGGCUAAGAUCUCGUUCUAUAGUAUAACUCACAACCGUACGGACAACUCAUGUAUUUCCUAGACAACUCGCGUGCCAAUAUCACAAUCCACCCAGCAUGGUCACAUGCUCAAUAUCACAAUCCACCCGGUGUGGUCACAAGAUCAAUAUCGCAAUUAGCCCGGUGUGAUCACGGGCUACCAUUCCAAACCAUAUCGCAGAAAAACUAGAUAUACAAUAAUACAUGUACAUUAUCAAUGAACAUCAUGUUUUAUACUCCUGGACCGGUAUAAAUGACAUGUUACAGUAUAUGCAUGUACAAGUGUAAUAUCACAGCUCAAAUCAUCAAGUAAUAUCAUAAACAUUGAGUAGCACAUUGGGAACAACAAAACAAGUCACGUAAUAUGCAUGACAUGCACAAGAAAGUCAAAAACAACAACCAUAAUACUCGUCUUUCAUCAACAACAUGCCCCUAAGACAUCACAUAACAUCCCCAUAUCGCCACCCUUAUCUCACUAUUUUGACAAUAUCAUAAUAGCCACAUGUAUCGCUCCACUCGGACAAUAUAUCAAUAGCCACUCGUAUCCCUCCGCCCCGACAAUAACACAAUAGCCACCCUUAUCACUCCGCCCAGACAAUAACACAAUAGCCACAAGUAUCACUCCACCUAGAAAAUAACACAAUAGCCAUUUGUAUCACUCCGGUCGGACAGAAUAUCAAUAGGCACUAGUAUCACUCCGCACAAUCAACAAUAGUGAAAUGACACCCUUAUGAUCUGCACAAUCAACAAUAGUGAAGUGCCACCCUUAUGCUCCACACAAUAAUGAUCAAUCCCCACAACAUGUCCACAUAUGCCACAAUAUUUCCAAAACAACGAUACCAAUAUCAUAAUAAAGCAUAGCCCAUGGCUCAACAACAAUGUGUACUAGAAUUUCAAAAACAACAAAAUGAAAUGGGAAAUAAGUUGAAAAUAAAAGAUAUUUCAUAUAACAACAACUUCAAUUAAAAGCAUAUGAAUAACCUAAGGGUCCAAAACGAUCAAUUCCAUAUAUAAGAUCGGGUACAAACGUGUCACCCUGUAUACACGACUUUUACAUAAUUCAAAUAAUGCAAUUAGACCAAAUCUUGUAAGAUAGAUUCCUCCACACAAAGUUAGGCAAGAUAUUUAUCUUAAAAAAUAAAAUCAAUCCACUAAUAAGCCUUUUCUACGUGAAACAACCUCUGAACAGCUCGAAUCUAGUCAAAAUAACAUAAUUUCAUAUAUAAAAGCCAUAGAAAACAUUUUUCGAAUAAUAAAGAUUCGAUCUUGAACAAGAAUCAAAAAUUUUACCUUGGUUCUGCACCUUGGAACCCAACAAAACUUACAAAUUCUAAACACAUAUUCAAAUUCGAGUUCAACCAUACCAAAAUCAUCCAACUCCGACCUCAAAUCAGCCUUCAAAUUAUCAAUUUAUGUUGUAGAAAAGUUUUUACUAAAAUUCCCAAUUUCUCCAAUUUAAAACAUCAAGCAAACACUAAAAUCGAGGUUAGAAUCAUGAAAUAUAAAUAAAUCCGAGUCAAACACUUAUCCCAUUCCUAAUAUUGACCAGGGGUCCUCUUCGAGAUCGCGGGACUUGCUUCGCUAUAGUAAAGAGCAAAUCAUAAGAUUCCAAGAUUCCCUCUACGCGAAUGCAGUGUGAAGCCCGCGAAUGAGACCCCUCAGCUAAUCUAGCUUAUGUGAACACAACCUCAGUAUGUGAAUGCAAAGGCCAACCAUUGGCGCCCCUUCCUGCUCUGCCUCUACACGAUCGCGACACAAGGAACAUGAACGUUAUGAACAUCUCCCCUCCAGGUUCCGUGAAUGCGAAAACCGAAUCACAGAUGCGAUGAGCAAGUACUCAGCCACCCAAAAUACACUUCACAAUCGCAUAUUGCCUUCCUCAAUUGCGACGAACUGUAGAACAUCAGAAAAACCAGCAAUUCCAAAACAUGAAGAAAUGGCUCGUAGCCCAUCCGAAACACACCUGAGGCCCCGAGACCCCAUCCAAUCACACUAACCAAUCUCAAAACAUAAUAGGGACCUACUCGAUACCUCAAAUCACACCAAAAAUUAUCAAAACUAUGAACCACACCUCAAUUCAAGCCUAAUGAAUAAAUAAAAUUUCAACUUCCAAAGUUCAUGUCGAACUAUAUGAAAUCAAUUUGGAAAAACUUAAAAUUUUGCAUGCAAGUCCCAAAUGAUACAACAGACCUAUACCAACUCCGGAAAUCAUAAUCUGAACUUGAUAUGAACAAAGUCAACUCUCAAUCAAACCUAUCAACCUUACAAACCUUUUACUAUUCAACUUUCGCCAAUUCAAGCCAAAACAACCUAAGAGCCUCAAAAUCCACCUCCGGACAUACGCCUAAGUCAAAAAUCACCAUUUGGACCUAACAGGGCCAUCAAAACUCUAAUCCAAGAUCAAAUAUGCAAAAGUCAAACUUGGUCAACUCUUUCCAAUUAAAGCUUCUAAAAGAAGAAUUAUCCUUCUAAAUCCAUCCCAAACUGCUCAAAAACCCAAAACCGAACACGCAAAUUUUAAUACAUCAUAUGAAUCUACUCUCAACCUCGAACCGCUGAACAAAAAUCCAAAUGAUCAAAAUGACCAGUAAGGUCAUUACAGAUGUGGUACAGAAUAUUUUUCUCCUGUGUUAUAAGGACAUACUACUAUAGUCACCCUUGGGAGGGCUAGCCGUCUAUUGCAUCCCAAGUGCUAGUGUUUCCCAGGGGUUCGAGGCAUGAUACAAUGUAUUGUGAUAAUUCAUGCAUCGGUCUUGAUGCGGUGUUAGUGCAUAAUAGUAGAGUGAUUACUUAAGUUUGCAGCAGCAGCGGUCCUAUGAGAAGGAUUAUCCACUUUAUGAUUUGGAGCUUACAUCUAUUCCAAUAGAGGAGAGGCAUUUGGUUAUGGAUGUUUAGACUAUGGUCGAUAGAUUUGCGACUAUUUCUGAGCUUAAUAGAGUUCUCACUUGUAUUGCUGCGCAAUCAUCCUUGUUUGACCAUAUUAAGGAUAUUCAGUAUGAUGGUUUCCAUUUGUUUUUCCUUAGGAACAAGAUUGGGGAGGUAGUGCUAAGGAGGUAAUCCUUACUAUGGACGGUGUGGUGCGACUUCUGGGUCGAAUUUGUGUUUUCAGUGUUAAUGGUUCGAGAGAUUGAUUCUUGAGGAGGUUCGUAGUUGUGGUAUUUUAUUCGUACAGGUGAUACAGAGAUGUAUCAUGAUUCGAGCUAGCAUUAUUGGGGCAGCUGAUGAAGAAGGACAUUAUUGGGCAUGUCUCAUGGUGUUUGAUUAUCAACAAGUUUAGAAUGAGCAUCAUUGGUCGAGUGGUUUACUUUGAAAGAUAGCUAUACUGGUGUGGAAGUGAGAGCAUCCAAAUCCACUACUAAAAUGUAAAUGGACAUGGUCGCAUGUAAUAUAAUAUACCCAACUAUGAGUCGGGAUCGAAUCCCACAGAGAACAAUAUGUAGGCGAUUAGGAAUGUAAGAGAAUUAUCACUUGUUAUGCAAUGUCAAACAUUAAGAAUAGAUUUGAGAAAAGAUUUAUAUCUAAAAGCGGAAAUGUAAACUAACCUAGAAAGCAAGUAAAAUGAUCAACGGCUACAAGUAUGGAUGCAUCGGGAAUUACACACAAGUAACGAUCUAAUGUAUUUCAUGAUUUUACAAAUAUGAGCGAGUUUAUUUUAAUUAGCCACGGGUAAUAAUUCUAUAUUAGCUUCUUCCAAAGACUAACAAGACUUCCUAAUUGAAUUAUCCCUUAAACCAAUUAAGAGAUUAAGCACACCCGAUUAUGGCUACAAGUAGUUCAAUCAUAUCCCUAAGUAGAAUCUAUAAAAUGAGGGUUUAAGCCUUAAGUUCUUGUUAAUUAAUCUUUCCCAACCCCAAUAAUUUUUCGCAAAAUUAAUUAGGAGUUAAUGGGCAAGUCCUAGGGUUAGCUAAUCCCUUUGGAAACACUAAAGAACAAGAAUAAUUAAAGAAACAAUAACUCACUUCAUAAAAAGAUAAAAAUUAUUCAAUACAUAAACACAACAAGGUAUUUAAUUCACACUUUAAAUCUGAUUAUUUCCAUAAACAAGAUUCAAAUGUUAAAUAAAAUACUACACACUAAGAUAUUCAAUACGAAGCAAAGAAUGAAGAAAUGAACAUAAAUGGGUAAGAAAUUCUCAAACAAUAGCUUCAAAUCUUCAAGACCCAAGUGUGUGUACAAACCCUAGCUCCCAAAACUUGUUCUCUCUAGUGUUUGGAACUGAAAAUAAGCAAAAACAAUCUUUACAAAUGAGAUGGUUUGUGUAUUAAAUGGUUUGGAGUCAGAGUUGUGAAUUUCUAGAACUACCCAGUUUUUUUGCCUAGUUUCUUCUUCGCGUUCGUGACUACACCCUCGCAUUCGCAAAGGUUUGUUUUCCAAAAGCUUUGCGUUUGCGUCUGAACCUUCGCGUUCGUGAAGGUUUGAGUUCUGAUGCUUCGCGUUCGCAUUAGGUACUUCGCAUUCGCGAAGAUCUAGUUUCCUACUUCUUCGCGUUCGCGAAGGGUAAAUCGCUGGGCAGGUUCUCAUUAUCCAUUUUAGCUCCUUUUUGACUUGUUUUCACUUGGUUUCUUCACCACUACUCCUAAUUCACAUACAACCUGUAAAAUAGAAGUAAAUGACAUCAAACACAUGAUUUUAUCACUCAAACAUAGCAAAAAUAUAGGCUUAAAGACAAGAUAAGUUGGUAAAAUACCAACUUAUCAAACCCCCAAACUUAAACUAUUGCUUGUCUUCAAGCGAUGAAAGCGACAAAAUCUCCUCGCAAGUAUUUAACUCAAUAAUGCAUCCAUAUCAUGCCAAGCCAAAAAGGUCUACUAUAAGCACAAACACAUGACUUCGAUUGGUACCAAUAAUUAAUCCAAACCAUAUGAAUUACCAAACAUUGCUCAUGAACUUCAUUAUAUUUCAAGUGCUCAAACACUACAAAUCAAAGUAGCAAUCAAGUCAUGACACUAAAGCUUCACAAUUUGCCUUUUUAUCACAAUUAACUUUCUUUGGUCAUUCCUUCCAAUUGAAAUGGGAUUAAAUUCAAAACUCAAAUCUCAUGGUCCCUCACAUUUAAAAGAGAAUCUCACACUCAUAAAUCUUAAUUCAAAACAAUAAUGGGAUAUCAAAUGGAAAGAAUUAACUCUCUCUCACAAAGAUGUUCCAAUGCAUACAAGUAGUACCAUAGGCUUGCCCUUCAUGUAUUUCUCCACUAAUAUAGACAACUUGGUUCAAAAUCAUUUAGGACUUAAAGGGUUGUGGUUUAGGCUUUUGGUUAAGGUAGGGCACAAUUUUGGUUAGAGUGACUCAAAACCUCCCCAAGCACUACAAUAUUUACAAUCAAAGUCCACUUCCUUCAAAAACAUUGUCCAUCAUUUCUUCACUUUUUUAUUCCACACCUAAUCUUCCCUUUAUUCAUAACUUCUUAUAAUUUAUUUUUUCUUCCUUCCUUUUCAAUAUCAAGGAAAGUUUCACUUUUUUUUUUAUUAUUACCUUCCACCUUUUAAGCAACUUCUAUAUCACAACUUUUUCAACCUUCACCCCCAAACUUAGGCUUUUAGCCUAUGUUUACACUUCCAAAGUACUUAGGGAGGUAGGUUGCCAAAAUCUAGAUUAAUAAAGAAUAAAGGAUUAAAGCUUGUAACAUGGCUGCCAAAGAACAAGGUUAAAGGCUCAAAAUGGGUUGACUAGGAAAAUAUUCAAGGGUAGGAAAUUUAAGGCACAAUAGCGGUCCAAAGAAGGCCUAAUAUUAUUUUUCAAAUCAAACUAGUCUAUGAUUUCUCCUUGAAGCACAUUCUGGGCAAGGUCUAGACUAAAAAUAAUGUAAAAGAACUCACAAUAAAUCUCACCACACAUGGCACAUGAACACUCAAGUGGAAUACAAAUCCAAAAUCCAAUUGAAACCAAUGACUCAAAGAGGUUACAUAUAUCAUAGGAAGCUAUUUAGUGAAUCAAAGAGCCAAAAAUUUUAGUCUAAAAGUCAUGACAAUGAUCUUUACUUGAAUUAUUUUUCUUUUUCAACGACCAAAAAUUCAUAUGCUGAGGUUUAAAUCAUGUUGGUACCAAGCAAGCCACAACUUGAUCAAUGGGCACAAACCCCAACUCAAACCACUUAUUCUUCUAAGAAAGUCGCCUAGUUAUCCAUCAUCGGGAAAAGUCGACAAAAAUUUACUAACAAUUACCCGGUUCAAAAAAAAUUUGCAUCCUCAGAAAAAGAACCGUGGUACAAAGAAAACCAAGGAAAUCGCCACCAAAAUACAGCAUACUAUAUAAACAAAAAAUUAAAAAGCUAGUAAACAUCAAGUCACUAAAACAUACUGUAUAUAAAAACAAAAAUUCAAGAAACUAGUAAACAUACUAAUAUAACACAUUACAUGAAAAUACAAUAACAAUUAAUAAACUAAAGCAUCGACCAAUCUACACAAAUUAUCACACAAAAAAGAAAAAAUUGUUCAUGCUCCACAUACAUCCAUCAUAUAUAAAUGAGUCACCCCCAACCUAAAGUGUUACACUGUCCUCAAUGCAACUAAUCAAAACAAGAUAAAAUGAAGGAGGUGCUCCCUGAAAAUGCAUCAGUCGGAGCUGGAGGUGGUGGGAAAAUUGAGCUCCAAAUCGGCAUCAUCAUCAUCAUCUUAUUCAUGUGACCCACAAAUGAACUCAGCUUGUACAUCAUCUUGGAUAGAAAUUUGCUUUUCUUCUUCUCAUGCUCCUUGAACUUCCUCUGCCUCUUCUCAAUCUUCCCUUGUCGGUGGCUCAUAUUCUCCAGCCUGGUGUUCAUGGUCUCCAUCUUGCCCGUGAUUGCUUGUUACUCUUUGACUACAUCAUCCAUGGAUGGUGGGGCAGCAGUGCUAGUAGAUGUGCUAGCUCCAGGUGGGCUAGUAGUAAGGCCAGCUAUAAGUUGUCGAAUAUGUGCAUCUACUCCAUGUAUCUGACUGGAUAAGUGGCGCAUAGUGUGCGGGCCGGACUAGAGUGGUCCCAUGGGGUCAAAUGACCCUAAUACAGGUGCAAAGGAUCCAGCAGGAUCAGUGGUGGCCUCAGAGAACUGCCCAAAUGAAGAGGAUGUAACAUCAAUUCUCCUCUUUUUCUACUUGUCACUGGGUCCCCUUUUCAGCAAAGGAUGCAUCGGGAAUUACACACACGUAACGAUCCAAUGUAUUUCAUAAUUUUACAAAUAUGAGUGAGUUUAUGUUAAUUAGUCACGGGUAAUAAUUCUAUAUUAGCUUCUUUCAAAGACUAACAAGACUUCUUAAUUGAGUUAUCCCUAAAACAAUUAAGAGAUUAAGCACACCUGAUUAUGGCUACAAGUAGUUCAAUCUUAUCCCUUGGUAGAAUCUAUAAAAUGAGGGUUAAAGCCUCAAGUUCUUAUUAAUUAAUCUUUCCCAAACCCAAAUAAUCUUUCCCAAAAUUAAUUCAGAGUUAAUGGACGAGUCCUAAGGUUAGCUAAUCCCUUUGAAAAUAUUAAAGAACAAGAAUAAUUAAAGAAACAAUAACUUACUUCAUAAAAAGAUAAAAAUCAUUCAAUACAUAAGCACAAUAAGGUAUUUAAUCCACACUUUAAAUAAGAUUAUUUUCAUAAACAAGAUUCAAGUGUUAAAUAAAAUACUACACACUUAGAUAUUCAAUAUAAAGCAAGGAAAUGAAGAAAUGAACAUAAAUGGGUAAGAAAUUCUCAACUAAUAGCUUCAAAUCUUCAAGAUCCAAGUGUGUGUGCAAACCCUAGCUCCCAAAACUUGUUCUCUCUAGUGUUUGGAACUGAAAAUAAGCAAAACAAAUUUUUACAAAUGAGUUGGUUUGUGUAUUAAAUGGUUUGGGGUCAAAGUUGUGAAUUUUCAGAACUGCCCAGUUUUUCUGCCUAGUUUCUUCGUCGCGUUCACGACUACACCCUCGCAUUCGCGAAGGUCAAUUUUCCUUAAAAUUUGGGUUUGCGUCUGAACCUUCGCGUUUGCGAUGGUUUAAGUUUUGAUGCUUCGCGUUCGAGUUAGGUACCUCAUGUUCGCAAAGGUCUAGCUUCCUGCUUCUUCACGUUCGCGUUGGACCUUCGCGUUCACGAAAGGUAAAUCGCUGGGCAGGUUCUCAUUAUCCAUUUUAGCUCCUUUUUGACUUGUUUUCACUUGGUUUCUUUACCAUUACUCCUAAUUUAAAUACAACCUGUAAAAUAGAAGUAAAUGACAUCAAACACAUGAUUUUAUCACUCAAACAUAGCGAAAAUAUAGGCCUAAAGACAAGAUAAUUGGUAAAAUACCAACUUAUCAGUAUGAUUAUAGGGUUUGUGGUAGGGUUGCCAUGGGUUUCAAGGAAGUUUGAUUCUAUUUGGGUCAUUAUGGACAAUUGAGGGCAUUUCAUAUUGCUGGUGAAUUCUUACAUUUUGAGAGUUCAAAUUUAACAAGAAGGAUUUGCUUGAGCUAUUAAAAGAUUGUGCAUGCUUGAUUAUCAUUCUUGUGUGCAAUGUUAUUUUGAAGUAGGUUUUGUUUAUAUGUCUUCUAUUUAUUCAUUGAUGGAAUGUAGUAUUUUUUUGUGUCCCAUGGUCGAGUAUAGACUCAGAAGAAUCAAUUGAUUACAUAGUGGUUAUAUUCGAAGCAAGGUCAUAUGAAGAUAUUGAUAUGAUGUCACACGGGUGGUCUAUCUCAUGUGAGAAGGUUAGAGGUUACAUGAUUCAUUAUGAGAUUCUUAUGAAGAGGUUUACCUUCUACCCGAUGGGAUGUAUGUGGUACGAUAUGAGUAAGGUUGAGUGUGAAUUGGGUUGAUAGUUUGGGUUGCGUUAUGGUUAGUGCAGCAUGGACUUACAAGAAAUUCAACUGAGUAAUCGUGUGGGAUCAUGGCAGUUAAAAAGAAGCAGCCGUAAUGGGUUCUUAUGUUAUGUGUUUAUGGCUUAAAGCCAAGUGGGGAGCCCACCAUUGGCGAUUAGGUCUCCUACCAUGUGUUGUUACAGAUUACAGAUUAAAGGGCGCUUGUGGAUUUGAUAUGACUUGAGGAUGAUGACUUCAAGGAUGAAUCGGUCUAGAAAUUUUUAGAUGUGUGUUAUAUUUGACUUAGUAAAAUAUGGAUACUGUGGAAGGACUCGGGUUCGAUAUUCUUUAAUGGAGGUAGUGUGAAAGGGAAAGGAUUCGCUCAAUUAUUUCUGUUGUGGUAUUCAUGCGAUAAUGGAGCACUAAUCAUUCGACAUGAUUGGCUUUGUAUUCAAGAUUAGGACUGAGAGGGUGUUCCUCGAGAAGGUUCUAAUAGAUUCAAGAUUAAAUAUGUGGUAUCUAAGGAUUUCUGGAUUUGGGCGUGACUAAGGAUUCAAGAUUUUACGUUGCAUUGUGAAAGAGACUUGGAGCAUUUCUGUAUUACUAUCAAUUUUGUGAGGCAGUGUUUGAGAGAUGGAAUAAAUAACUUCAGAUUCAUAGAAGACCUCUUUAGAGCAGGUAUUUUGGUUUGAAGUACUAUUUGGCAUAUAAGAGGGAAUAAAGUGGCUUACGAGUCUUAGGAUGAUGAUAUUUCAUGUUCGGAUCACUUGGGAUGAGUUUGAUGGAGGUCCAUAGUGUAUUGGGAAAGAGUACUGUUUCUGUAAAGGUGGAUCAUGAGUAAUCUAAAAAAAUUAGGUCCGAUUAGCUCGGUGACACCAGAUUUUGGAUAGUUUCAGUUGUAUUUAAUUAUGACUUCAGUUAUUAAUGCUAUUCCAUAGUUUGAGACUAUUUUUUAUUAUUUUUGGAUUUUAAUUCUGCAUAUCUAUUAUUGUCUUUCCUAGCAAGCAUUAUUAGGCACCAUCAUAACUCUAGAGGGAUUCUAGAUCGUAAAAAGUUGGUAUCAAAGCACUAGAAUCAUAUAGGUCUCACAAGUCAUGAGCAUACCUAGUAGAGUCUUGCAGAUCGGCAUGGAGACAUCUGUAAUUAUAUUUGAUAGGCUAUAGGGUUUAGGAACUUUCCCUUGCUUGAUUCCUUAUCGUGCAACUUUAUCUCGGCUUAAAGCAUGUAUCUUUAGUUCUUUCCUAUUCAUUAGUAUGUGAUGUUGAGUACUUGAUAUUAGUUGGGCAUCAACGAGUUGUUUUGAUGAUACAGAUGUGGUGCAGAAUAUAUUUUUCAUGUAUUAUGAGGACAUGCUACUAUUGUCGCACUUGGGAGGGGUUGUCGUCUAUUGCAGCCCCAGUGUUGGUGUUGCCCAGGGGUUCGGAGCAUUAUAUAAUGUAUUGUGAUAAUUCACACAUUGGUCUUAAUGCAGUGUUGGUGUAGAAGAGUAGGGUGAUUGCUUAAGUUUUCAGCAGCAUCAAUCCUAUGAGAAGGAUUGUCCAGCUUAUGCUUUGUAACUUGCAUCUAUUCCUAUAGAGGAGAGGCAUUUAGUUAUGGAUGUUCAGGCUUUGGCUGAUAUAUU
Molecule: long non-coding RNA, 11787 nt
Filed under: Nicotiana tabacum (common tobacco)
Lineage: Eukaryota; Viridiplantae; Streptophyta; Magnoliopsida; Solanales; Solanaceae
Description: long non-coding RNA (NTAB_LNC000507)
Source: RNAcentral